UUUACCCUAUAAAUUGUUUCAUCAAUGUCACAAUUGAGAAACGCUGUCUUAACAUCCAUCUGAUGUAACUCAAGAUUGAAAUGCGCUACCAAUGCCAUUAUAGUCCUGAAAGAGUCUUUCGAAGAAACCGGAGAGAAAGUCUCGUUAUAAUCGAUGCCUUCUUUCUGUGUAAAGCCUUUUGCGACAAGACGAGCUUUAUACCUCUCUACAUCACCUUUCGAAUCCCUCUUGGUCUUAAAUAUCUAUUUGCAACCAAUGGGUUUCGCACCUUCAGGCAAUGGAACGAGGUCCCACACGUCAUUGUCCUUCAUGGACUUUAUCUCUUCAUUCAUAGUAUUAAGCCACUUUUGAGAGUUAGAACUUUCUAUGGCUUGACGGAAGUUGAUCGGAUCAUCUUCCACCAUUCCAACGUCAAUUUCAUGUUCUUGAAGAAAUACGAUGUAAUCAUUCGAAACCGCACUUCUCCUCUCUCUAAUGGAUCUUCUUAAUGGCAUUGGUUCUUGAGGGUGUAGAGUUUGUUCUUCUGGAACAAUUUGUUGAUCUUGUAGGGAGGUAUGACAUUGUCUUGAUCCAGAGUUAUUUCUUGAACAAUAUCAGGGAUAGAAACCUGAUCAUUGUCAAUGGCAAUUAGAGGAAUUUCAACAUAUUCCUCCUCAAAGACAAAGCCUGUAACCCUUUCUCCCCCCGCAAACUCAACAUCCUCAAAAAACCUAGCAUUUCCUAUCUCAAAAAUUGCCUUAGUUGUGGGAUCAUAAAACUUGUAACCCUUGGACCUUUCAGAAUAUCCAAUGAAAUAGCAACUGAUGGUCCUUGCGUCCAAUUUCUUUUCAUUUGGCUUAUAGGGCCUUACCUCAGCUGGACACCCCCAAAUAUGAAUAUGCUUCAAACUAGGCUUCUUGCCAGUCCAAAGCUCAUAUGGGGUUUUAUUAGUGGCCUUAGUUGGAACUCUAUUGAGUAUAUAAGUUGCAGUCUUUAAUGCUUCACCCCAGAGAGAUUCUGGUAAGGUAGAAUGACUAAUCAUACUCCUCACCAUGUUCUUAAGCGUUCCAUUUCGUCUUUCAGCAACACCAUUCAUAGUGGGCGAACCCGGCAUAGUGUAUUGUGGGACGAUACCGCAUUCCUCUAGGAAUUUAGCAAACGGUCCUGGACGCUAUUCACCUAAACCGUCAUAUCUGCCAUAGUAUUCACCCCCACGGUCAGAUCUGACGCUUUUAAGCCUUUUGCCGAGUUGGUUCUCAACUUCAGCUUUAUAGUUUUUGAACACAUCCAGUGACUGUGAUUUUUCAUGAACGAGAUAUAUGUAGCCAUAUUUUGAAAAGUCGUCUAUGAACGUUAUAAAAUAUUAUUGACCAUUCCAAGAACUCGUAGGGACUGGUCCACAAAUAUCCGUAUGUAUAAGUUCUAAGACGUCCGAAGUCCUAUUGGCUUGAAAUCUCCUUUUAUUGGUUUGUUUUCCCUUUAUACAGUUGACACACAAAUCAUAAUCUGUAAAGUCAAGAGGGUCGAGAAUCCCGUCAAACACAAGUCUCUCAAUUCUCCUUUUGGAGAUGUGACCUAAUCUCUUGUGUUACAACGAGGCAGAAUUCUCGUCGUUUAAUUUUCGCUUUACACCUCGAGUACUUACAUGCAAUGUUUCAUUAUAAAAAGUAAUUGUAUCAAUUGAAUAAAGAUUAUCGUAACCUGAUAAAGAACUGGAACCAACCAAUUUUGAAUCAUGAAACAAACUAAAUUUUCCAUUUUCAAAAGAACAAGUAUAACCAAAUUUGUCCAAAACAGAAAUAGAAAUCAAAUUCUGUCUAAAAGACGGUACAAUAAAUGUCUCAACAAGAUCCAAAUAAAAUCCAUUCUUUAACAAUAAUCUAAAUUUUCCUAUUGCCUCUACUUCCAUUCUAU
Molecule: long non-coding RNA, 1893 nt
Filed under: Olea europaea subsp. europaea
Lineage: Eukaryota; Viridiplantae; Streptophyta; Magnoliopsida; Lamiales; Oleaceae
Source: RNAcentral